UAGUGCUUACAGUUCUUUUUGAAUUUGUCCAGCAGGUCUUCUGGUUUUUACCUGAAGGACCUCA
This 64-nucleotide small nuclear RNA is filed under the name Myotis lucifugus (little brown bat). Its description in RNAcentral is "U7 small nuclear RNA (ENSMLUG00000022033.1)". It matches the Rfam family "U7 small nuclear RNA". From Rfam's summary of the family: Animal histone pre-mRNAs are spliced by a different mechanism than nuclear pre-mRNAs and self-splicing introns. The record is from Rfam by way of RNAcentral. Lineage: Eukaryota; Metazoa; Chordata; Mammalia; Chiroptera; Vespertilionidae.